Molecule: ribosomal RNA, 421 nt
Filed under: uncultured bacterium
Lineage: Bacteria
Description: bacterial SSU rRNA
Rfam family: Bacterial small subunit ribosomal RNA
Source: RNAcentral
UAAGGAAUAUUGGUCAAUGGACGCAAGUCUGAACCAGCCAUGCCGCGUGAAGGAUGAAGGUCCUCUGGAUUGUAAACUUCUUUUAUCUGGGACGAAAACGGGAUUUUUAUCUCAAUUGACGGUACCAGAGGAAUAAGCACCGGCUAACUCCGUGCCAGCAGCCGCGGUAAUACGGAGGGUGCGAGCGUUAUCCGGAUUUACUGGGUUUAAAGGGUGCGUAGGUGGGCUUAUAAGUCAGUGGUGAAAUCUCCGAGCUUAACUUGGAAACUGCCGUUGUUACUAUAGGUCUUGAAUUAUCUGGAGGUAAGCGGAAUAUGUCAUGUAGCGGUUAAAUGCUUAGAUAUGACAUAGAACACCAAUUGCGAAGGCAGCUUACUACAUAUAAAUUGACGCUGAGGCACGAAAGCGUGGGGAUCAAACA